CAGUAGCCACGGUAAUACGUAGGGUGCGAGCGUUAAUCGGAAUUACUGGGCGUAAAGCGUGCGCAGGCGGUUGUGUAAGACAGGUGUGAAAUCCCCGGGCUUAACCUGGGAACUGCGCUUGUGACUGCACAGCUAGAGUAUGGCAGAGGGGGGUGGAAUUCCACGUGUAGCGGUGAAAUGCGUUGAGAUCGGAAAGAACACCAACGGCGAAAGCACUCUGCUGGGCCGGCACUGACACUGAGAGACGAAAGCUAGGGGAGCAAAUGGGAUUAGAUACCCGAGUAGUCCCUGUCUCUUAUAC
RNAcentral lists this ribosomal RNA (301 nucleotides) under uncultured bacterium. RNAcentral's name for it is "partial 16S ribosomal RNA". It matches the Rfam family "Bacterial small subunit ribosomal RNA", at positions 509 to 807 of the family's 1533-position model. The record is from RNAcentral.